UCCAGGGUAGCCUAGUGGACAUGGCAUCUGCCCGGUAAGCGGAACACUGUUGGGUUCGAUUUUCAUCCCUGAAC
Molecule: transfer RNA, 74 nt
Filed under: Cordylochernes scorpioides
Lineage: Eukaryota; Metazoa; Arthropoda; Arachnida; Pseudoscorpiones; Chernetidae
Description: tRNA-Thr
Source: RNAcentral